AGUGAACGCUGGCGGUAGGCCUAACACAUGCAAGUCGAACGGCAGCACAGUAAGAGCUUGCUCUUACGGGUGGCGAGUGGCGGACGGGUGAGGAAUACAUCGGAAUCUACUUUUUCGUGGGGGAUAACGUAGGGAAACUUACGCUAAUACCGCAUACGACCUACGGGUGAAAGCAGGGGAUCUUCGGACCUUGCGCGAUUGGAUGAGCCGAUGUCGGAUUAGCUAGUUGGCGGGGUAAAGGCCCACCAAGGCGACGAUCCGUAGCUGGUCUGAGAGGAUGAUCAGCCACACUGGAACUGAGACACAGUCCAGACUCCUACGGGGGGCAGCAGUGGGGAAUAUUGGACAAUGGGCGCAAGCCUGAUCCAGCAAUACCGCGUGGAUAAAGAAGGCCUUCGGGUUGUAAAGCCCUUUUGUUGGGAAAGAAAAGCAGCAGGUUAAUACCCCGCUGUUCUGACGGUACCCAAAGAAUAAGCACCGGCUAACUUCGUG
RNAcentral lists this ribosomal RNA (492 nucleotides) under uncultured bacterium. Its description in RNAcentral is "partial 16S ribosomal RNA". It matches the Rfam family "Bacterial small subunit ribosomal RNA", at positions 29 to 507 of the family's 1533-position model. The record is from RNAcentral.